AGAAUGACUCUCGGCAACGGAUAUCUAGGCUCUUGCAUCGAUGAAGAACGUAGCGAAAUGCGAUACUUGGUGUGAAUUGCAGAAUCCCGUGAACCAUCGAGUCUUUGAACGCAAGUUGCGCCCGAAGCCAUCCGGUUGAGGGCACGCCUGCCUGGGCGUCACAU
RNAcentral lists this ribosomal RNA (164 nucleotides) under Astragalus pallescens. Its description in RNAcentral is "5.8S ribosomal RNA". It matches the Rfam family "5.8S ribosomal RNA". From Rfam's summary of the family: 5.8S ribosomal RNA (5.8S rRNA) is a component of the large subunit of the eukaryotic ribosome. It is transcribed by RNA polymerase I as part of the 45S precursor that also contains 18S and 28S rRNA. Functionally, it is thought that 5.8S rRNA may be involved in ribosome translocation. The record is from RNAcentral. Lineage: Eukaryota; Viridiplantae; Streptophyta; Magnoliopsida; Fabales; Fabaceae. RNAcentral also lists the same sequence under 3 other names.